RNAcentral lists this ribosomal RNA (636 nucleotides) under uncultured bacterium. Its description in RNAcentral is "bacterial SSU rRNA". It matches the Rfam family "Bacterial small subunit ribosomal RNA", at positions 202 to 842 of the family's 1533-position model. The record is from RNAcentral.
UAAAGAAUUUCGGUAUGGGAUGGGGAUGCGUUCCAUUAGUUAGUUGGCGGGGUAACGGCCCACCAAGACAACGAUGGAUAGGGGUUCUGAGAGGAAGGUCCCCCACAUUGGAACUGAGACACGGUCCAAACUCCUACGGGAGGCAGCAGUGAGGAAUAUUGGUCAAUGGACGAGAGUCUGAACCAGCCAAGUAGCGUGAAGGGUGACUGCCCUAUGGGUUGUAAACUUCUUUUAUAUGGGAAUAAAAUGUUCCACGUGUGGGAUUUUGUAUGUACCAUAUGAAUAAGGAUCGGCUAACUCCGUGCCAGCAGCCGCGGUAAUACGGAGGAUCCGAGCGUUAUCCGGAUUUAUUGGGUUUAAAGGGAGCGUAGGUGGAUUGUUAAGUCAGUUGUGAAAGUUUGCGGCUCAACCGUAAAAUUGCAGUUGAAACUGGCAGUCUUGAGUACAGUAGAGGUGGGCGGAAUUCGUGGUGUAGCGGUGAAAUGCUUAGAUAUCACGAAGAACUCCGAUUGCGAAGGCAGCUCACUGGACUGCAACUGACACUGAGGCUCGAAAGUGUGGGUAUCAAACAGGAUUAGAUACCCUGGUAGUCCACACAGUACACGAUAGGUACUCGCUGUUUGCGAUAUACAGUAA